CAUGGCUGUCGUCAGCUCGUGUCGUGAGAUGUUGGUUAAGUCCGCAACGAGCGCAACCCUCGCCUUUAGUUGCCAGCAUUCAGUUGGGCACUCUAGAGGGACUGCCGGUGUCAAACCGGAGGAAGGUGGGGAUGACGUCAAGUCCUCAUGGCCUUUAUGUCUAGGGCUACACACGUACUACAAUGGCCGGUACAAAGGGCAGCCACUCAGCGAUGAGGCGCUAAUCCCAUAAAGCCGGUCUCAGUCCGGAUCGCAGUCUGCAACUCGACUGCGUGAAGUUGGAAUCGCUAGUAAUCGCGUAACAGCAUGACGCGGUGAAUACGUUCCCGGGCCUU
This 335-nucleotide ribosomal RNA is filed under the name uncultured Desulfovibrio sp. RNAcentral's name for it is "bacterial SSU rRNA". It matches the Rfam family "Bacterial small subunit ribosomal RNA", at positions 1044 to 1382 of the family's 1533-position model. The record is from RNAcentral. Lineage: Bacteria; Pseudomonadati; Thermodesulfobacteriota; Desulfovibrionia; Desulfovibrionales; Desulfovibrionaceae.